This 506-nucleotide ribosomal RNA is filed under the name uncultured bacterium. RNAcentral describes it as "partial 16S ribosomal RNA". It matches the Rfam family "Bacterial small subunit ribosomal RNA", at positions 29 to 523 of the family's 1533-position model. The record is from RNAcentral.
AGUGAACGCUGGCGGUAGGCCUAACACAUGCAAGUCGAACGGCAGCACAGGAGAGCUUGCUCUCUGGGUGGCGAGUGGCGGACGGGUGAGGAAUACAUCGGAAUCUACUCUGUCGUGGGGGAUAACGUAGGGAAACUUACGCUAAUACCGCAUACGACCUACGGGUGAAAGCAGGGGACCUUGGGGCCUUGCGCGAUUGAAUGAGCCGAUGUCGGAUGAGCUAGUUGGCGGGGUAAAGGCCCACCAAGGCGACGAUCCGUAGCUGGUCUGAGAGGAUGAUCAGCCACACUGGAACUGAGACACGGUCCAGACUCCUACGGGAGGCAGCAGUGGGGAAUAUUGGACAAUGGGCGCAAGCCUGAUCCAGCCAUACCGCGUGGGUGAAGAAGGCCUUCGGGUUGUAAAGCCCUUUUGUUGGGAAAGAAAUCCAGCUGGCUAAUACCCGGUUGGGAUGACGGUACCCAAAGAAUAAGCACCGGCUAACUUCGUGCCAGCCGCCGCCGUAA